This 253-nucleotide ribosomal RNA is filed under the name uncultured bacterium. Its description in RNAcentral is "partial 16S ribosomal RNA". It matches the Rfam family "Bacterial small subunit ribosomal RNA", at positions 524 to 776 of the family's 1533-position model. The record is from RNAcentral.
UACGGAGGGUGCAAACGUUGCUCGGAAUCAUUGGGCGUAAAGCGCACGUAGGCGGUCCAGCAAGUCGGGUGUGAAAGCCCUCGGCUCAACCGAGGAAGUGCAUUCGAAACUACGGGACUUGAAUACUGAAGAGGAUCGCGGAAUUCCCGGUGUAGAGGUGAAAUUCGUAGAUAUCGGGAGGAACACCAGUGGCGAAGGCGGCGAUCUGGGCAGAUAUUGACGCUGAUGUGCGAAAGCGUGGGGAGCAAACAGG